Maniola jurtina (meadow brown) is the source of this 243-nucleotide long non-coding RNA. RefSeq lists it as uncharacterized. The transcript is spliced from 3 exons. Lineage: Eukaryota; Metazoa; Arthropoda; Insecta; Lepidoptera; Nymphalidae. The record is from RefSeq and is a predicted model, not a curated record.
UACCCACACAUUUGUGGUAUUUAACUUUUCCAGGCUUGUUUCAGUAAUGUAUGCUUAGCAAACUACAAAAUAGUGCAAAUACACCUUAGCAUAAUAACCUGGCCAUGCUAGUGUUUGCUUUUAGCCCAGUUUUACAUUUUUAAUGGACUCUGACAUUAGGUUACUGUUUACGUACAAGUAGGUACAGUCCACUCAAUCAGAGCUGUCGAGUAUUCGUAUGAAAGGCUUUAACAUGGUCUUUGA